Daucus carota subsp. sativus is the source of this 3261-nucleotide RNA transcript. It is a transcript of the gene named cytochrome P450 CYP82H23, with no coding region annotated. The transcript is spliced from 2 exons. NCBI's taxonomy places the organism in Eukaryota, Viridiplantae, Streptophyta, Magnoliopsida, Apiales, Apiaceae. The record is from RefSeq and is a predicted model, not a curated record.
AAUAUGUCUAGUUAUUCUCUUGGUCAAUAUUUAAAGUAAGAGGGUAAGAGCUUUGUCUAGAAACUCAACCUCUCAUAUUUUUCCUUGUUGUCAACCAACCAUCUCUCAGCCCCUUAUCCUUUCUUGAUUUCUUUCUAUCUCUUCCUAUACAAAGUUCUUCACUUAGUCCCACUCCUGCACUAUACUGCACAAAUAAAAAUCCUUCCAUUGCUUCAAUAAGGUGGUGAGUCUGAAAAUUUUAUAAUGGCAGCAUCAGCAACACUAUGUCCAGCAAAAUUCACCGCCAUCUCCGCGGCGGUAGCGUGCCCGACAAGGGCAUCCCAGAAGAGGCCUAAUGUGAAGUACAUUAGUGGGUUGAACUCAUUUGGUGGACUAAAGGCUCAGAACAGUGUGGUGUCAUUAGGCCUGCCUGUUUGCACUGAGCAAUCUUUCGCAAACUUUGCGAGCUCAUUGAAGUAUCCAAACCAAAGGAAUGGAGGUGGAGGAGCACUAACCUCAACAUGCAAUGCAGUGGCUGAGAUUUUCAGGAUUGCUGCAGUUAUAAAUGGCUUGACACUUGUGGGGGUUGCAGUGGGAUUUGUUCUUCUUCGAAUCGAAGCAGCUGUGGAGGAAGCUGAGUGAUUUAAACGUUCAAGAAAUAUCUAGUAUAUUCUAUUAUCUAUAUCAAACUGUAUCUUUUGCUCAUUUUGUGUAGAGUUGAAUGAAUUUGGUUAUAUUGGUUUCUAUUUGGAAACAGAACUGGAUACAAUUUAUAAUAACAAUAUCAGCCCUCUCUCAAUCUCAUUUUAAUCAAGUACAUGUACAUGGCUUCCAGUCAACACACUUGAAAUAAUAAUGAUAAAUUCCACAGUUUUUGUGCAUUUAAAGAUUUCACUAGAUUACGAUGACAACUGUUGCAAACAAAGCACUCUGUGAUUUGCUGAUAUUAUUUGCAACCUGAGAAUGAAGGAGAAAUGGUUUCAUUGCCGCCUAAGAUGGUGGUUCCUCCAACCUGGUGAACGAAGAAAGUUUCUUCGUGGACUUGACCUAAGAUUAUGAGUGUUAAUCCGCUGAAAAGAGAAGAAAGUAGUGGAAAUACAACUAUAUGAUCACUGAUAGUAUAUGCUUACCUACUUCAUCUUCAUCUGAAAUAUUUGGAUGAUAAACAAUUGAAUUAAGCAAUCAAUCCGCUGUUAGGAUAACAAUAAUGCCGCAAAUAUAUUCCCUUGUUUCAUUAAAAUGCAUUAUAUUAUGCUCUUGAAAUCAAUUGAUACAACACUUGGAGCCAUGGUUGAUCAAUAUGGGCCAAUCUUCUCACGAAUUAACAGAACUUUUGUGAUCAUCAGCUAGGAAGCUGCAAAAGAAUGCUUUACAACACAAGACAGGGUAUUCUCAACUCAUCCAAAAUCUCUAGUUGGUGAAGUAGUAGGAAACAGCAGGAAACUUAUGAUCUUUCAACCAUAUGGAUCCUACUGGCUCGAGAUACUUAAGCUUGCAAUGGCUUAUAUCCAUUCUUCGUCUGUAAUUGCUCAAACAUGUUCGCGAGUGAAGUUAAUCUUUUCAUCAAGGGGCUAUAUUUGCAAUGGACUAGAAAUCGAAGUGAAAGCAAAGUUGUUGUGGAAAUGAAGAAAAGGUUUGGAGACUUGACAACAGACAUGGCGGUGAGGACAGUGAUAGCUGGUAAGAGAUAUUCUGGUACUGGAGUCCAAAAUGAUGAGGAAUCAAGGCGAUUACAGGAGGCUAAGGGUCAGAUGAAAAAGACAGCUGACAGAGAUCGAUGAUAUAUACUUGAUAAAUGAGUGGAGGAUCAUCUGCAGAUAAAAGAAAUUCUGCGCAUUGAUCAUUUGGAAGAAAACUUUAUUAAUGUAAUGUUGUCUGCCAUGGAUGGUGAGUAGUGUACAAAUGAGAUUGAACGCGACACUGCCAUCAAUUGGGCUUGUUUGGUAAGUUAUGCAAGAUUCUUUGGUAUUAGAAUCUAUAGUUUAUACAAUAUGGACCUGUGUUUAUAGUUACAGAGUGAUGCUUAGACAGAUCUAGUGCGAUCAUGAACUAGAUCAUGCAUCUUGCAACUUCUAGUGUUUCCAAAUUUAUCUUGCAACUAGAUUAUGAACUAGAUUUCUCGGCUUUGGAUCUCCCUCCACUCUUGUUCAGACGUCUUUGAGCGUAACAAACACCCAAGUGCCUUUAUUGCCAGAGGUAGUCCACCAUGAUUCUUCAUCUCCAAAUGCUAUUUUCCUGAACAGUUCAUAAAUCAUAACUAUCAUGCUCAUGUAAUUUUUUGACUCGACAGGGAACACAAUUUUGCAUGGCAUCAUAACAUUCUGGCUACCAGUUGUUACUAUACCAGUGCUUCCUUUUGGCAUCACCAACUCCUAGUACAUAGUUUCCCAGUUCCUCCCACUUCACUGAGUCCUCGUACCAGCAUCUAGUACAAGUAAAAACUUUUUUCACUUUAAUUCAAAGACUUAGAACUUAGAUGAAAAGAAUGAGUCAAUUCAAUGAGGCCGUUUAGUCAUGAUUCCUGGUGAGCCUCUACCCAACACGUUCAAUUAAUAAUGCAACACUGAUAUAUUUGAUUUUGCUUUAUGGCACACUGGCUCUCACCAAAUUAAACACAAUUCAUUAUGAGAAUAAGGAACAUGAUAUAUAUUUGACGUGAUUUUCCUCACAUAGUGAAAUAACUGUGCUUUGAUCAGCUGCACCAAUUGUUGCACUCCAUGAAGCAUCAGAAGAUUGCACCGUGGCAGGCUUCCACAUUUCAGCUGGCACGCGCUUAUUUGUAAACCUCCGGAAGUUGCAGCGUGACCCUUGCAUUUGGUCUGGUCCUCAAGAGUUCCAACCUGAGAGGUUCAUUGAGAAACAUAUUGAUGUUGAAAUGUGGGGAAGAAUUUUGAACUGAUACCAUUUGGUUCCGGAAGGAGGAGAUGCCCUGGCUCCACACUUGCACUCCAAGUUCUCUACUUGACACGGGCUAGGUUGCUUCAUGGCUUUGAGCUAGGAACUGUUUCAGACUUGCUCGUCGAUAUGACUGAUAGUCCAGGACUUACUAACUUAAAAAAAUGUAAUAUUAGCAGCAGCGACUCUAUUUGUUGUACGUGAUAAAGUAGACCAAGUGAUUGAUAGAUCAUCUGCUGAAACUGAAGUGUUCAAAUUGGUAACGGGCUAAAUGGCGUUUUGGUCACUCAACUGAUCAAAAACUUGCAAUUGGGUCAUCCAAUUCAAAAAGCUUUCAGUCUCAUCUGUAUACUCUUAAAAAUUUUCAUUCAGGUCACUGGCCGUUAC